This is a long non-coding RNA of Lytechinus variegatus (green sea urchin), 474 nucleotides long. RefSeq lists it as uncharacterized. NCBI's taxonomy places the organism in Eukaryota, Metazoa, Echinodermata, Echinoidea, Temnopleuroida, Toxopneustidae. The transcript has 4 exons. The record is from RefSeq and is a predicted model, not a curated record.
GACGAAUGUAACGAUACUCUGGAGGACUACCCAUGCGAUACCAGCAACGGUGUAUGUUCUAGUACCAAUGGUUCUUACGUCUGCUCGUGUACUGAUGGAUAUAUUCUAGGAAUAAAUAACACCUGCAAGGAGCUUUCCCUUCAUUCAAGUGGAAGAGGCGGUUUGAUUGGUGGUCUUGUCUCGUCCGUCGCCGUCAUAUCAAUAAUUGUUGUCAUCGGAUUGCUAUGGAAGUACAGGAAAUUUCCACAAAUACCUCGAAGAAACGAACCCAAGGAAAUCGAUGGUAAAACCUCUGCGCCAAACCCGAACUCUUACGGUGGGAGAACGUACUAUGAACAUGGGAACCUACAUGUAGAUACUGCAUGCAAUGCAGAGCUGAAAGGAAAGGCUUCGUACCACGCUGACAAAUGUUCUGAUAAUGAUGAAAGUGAGGACAUUUACGAAAAUCUAGGUGAUUGAGGUCUUUAACUGCAG